This 75-nucleotide transfer RNA is filed under the name Myotis brandtii (Brandt's bat). It matches the Rfam family "tRNA". From Rfam's summary of the family: Transfer RNA (tRNA) molecules are approximately 80 nucleotides in length. Lineage: Eukaryota; Metazoa; Chordata; Mammalia; Chiroptera; Vespertilionidae. The record is from Rfam by way of RNAcentral.
GCCGGUGUGGCUCAGUGGAUAGAGCGUGUCGGCCUGAGGACUGAAGGGUCCCUGGUUUGAUUCCGGUCACGGGCA